GGCCAGGUGGCGGAAUGGUUAACACAUGCGAGAUGAAUACAGACAUACUCGCAAGGUCUUUGUUCGAUUCGGAGUCUGGCCU
Mycena metata is the source of this 82-nucleotide non-coding RNA. Lineage: Eukaryota; Fungi; Basidiomycota; Agaricomycetes; Agaricales; Mycenaceae. The record is from the annotation of a GenBank genome assembly.